UGGCUCUCGCAUCGAUGAAGAACGCAGCGAAAUGCGAUAAGUAAUGUGAAUUGCAGAAUUCAGUGAAUCAUCGAAUCUUUGAACGCACCUUGCGCUCCUUGGUAUUCCGAGGAGCAUGCCUGUUUGAGUGUCAUGAAAUCUUCAAUCUAUAAGCUUCUUAAUUGGAGUUUGUAGUCUUGGACUUGGAGGCUUGUCGGUCCUUUACAGGUCGGCUCCUCUUAAAUGCAUUAGCUUGGUUCCUUGCGGAUCGGCUUGUCGGUGUGAUAAUGUCUACGCCGCGACCGUGAAGCGUGUUUGGGCGAGCUUCUAACUGUCUCGUUAUAGAGACAACUUUAUGACCUCUGACCUCAAAUCAGGUAGGACUACCCGCUGA
This 373-nucleotide unclassified non-coding RNA is filed under the name uncultured fungus. Its description in RNAcentral is "partial contains 5.8S ribosomal RNA and internal transcribed spacer 2". The stretch from base 1 to 133 matches the Rfam family "5.8S ribosomal RNA", at positions 22 to 154 of the family's 154-position model. The record is from RNAcentral. Lineage: Eukaryota; Fungi.